Molecule: ribosomal RNA, 490 nt
Filed under: uncultured bacterium
Lineage: Bacteria
Description: partial 16S ribosomal RNA
Rfam family: Bacterial small subunit ribosomal RNA
Source: RNAcentral
GAUGAACGCUAGCUACAGGCUUAACACAUGCAAGUCGCGGGGCAGCAUGGGGGUUGCUUGCAAUCCCCGAUGGCGACCGGCGCACGGGUGAGUAACGCGUAUCCAACCUGCCCUUCACCACGGGAGAACCCGGCGAAAGUCGGACUAAUACCGUAUGUGGUCCAUUGACGGCAUCCGAAUGGGACGAAAGGCUGGGCGGUGAGGGGUGGGGAUGCGUCCGAUUAGCCAGACGGCGGGGUAACGGCCAACCGUGGCUACGGUCGGUAGGGGUUCUGAGAGGAAGGUCCCCCACACUGGAACUGAGACACGGUCCAGACUCCUACGGGAGGCAGCAGUGAGGAAUAUUGGUCAAUGGGCGUAAGCCUGAACCAGCCAAGUAGCGUGCAGGAUGACGGCCCUAUGGGUUGUAAACUGCUUUUAUGCGGGGAUAAAGUGGCCCACGGGUGGGCUCUUGCAGGUACCGCAUGAAUAAGGACCGGCUAAUUCCGUG